Molecule: small RNA, 128 nt
Filed under: Marmota monax (woodchuck)
Lineage: Eukaryota; Metazoa; Chordata; Mammalia; Rodentia; Sciuridae
Source: RNAcentral
GCCUGGGCGCGGUGGCGCUCGCCAGUAAUCCCAGCAACUCCGGAGGCUGAGGCAGGAGGUUUGCAAGUUCGAGACCAGCCUCAGCAAUUUAGGGAGGCUCUAAGCAACUUAGCGAGACCCUGUCUCAA